CAGCCGCCACGGGAAUACAGAGGGUGCGAGCGUUAAUCGGAUUUACUGGGCGUAAAGCGUGCGUAGGCGGCUUUUUAAGUCGGAUGUGAAAUCCCUGAGCUUAACUUAGGAAUUGCAUUCGAUACUGGGAAGCUAGAGUAUGGGAGAGGAUGGUAGAAUUCCAGGUGUAGCGGUGAAAUGCGUAGAUAUCUGAAGGAACACCAGUGGCGAAAGCGGCUUCCUGGUCCAGUACCGACGUUCAGGCACGAAAGCGUGGGGAGCAAACAGGAUUAGAUACCCCCGUAGUCCCUGUCUCUUAUAC
RNAcentral lists this ribosomal RNA (301 nucleotides) under uncultured bacterium. Its description in RNAcentral is "partial 16S ribosomal RNA". It matches the Rfam family "Bacterial small subunit ribosomal RNA", at positions 509 to 807 of the family's 1533-position model. The record is from RNAcentral.